Molecule: long non-coding RNA, 204 nt
Filed under: Vigna radiata
Lineage: Eukaryota; Viridiplantae; Streptophyta; Magnoliopsida; Fabales; Fabaceae
Description: long non-coding RNA (VRAD_LNC009131)
Source: RNAcentral
UCCCCUUGUUUGUCUCACGGUUUCCCUAGUGGGGAUCUUAGUUUAUUCCACUGUCCCCUUUAUGUGUAAUUGUUUACUAAUUAGGGAUUGUGAUGAUAAAUUAUUUCCCCCAAUGAAGUUCUUGAACUUAAAUGCAGAAGAACACAUUGCCCAUUGGUUUACCAAGUCUGCUUAUGAAGAGACUUAUAACAGCAUCAUAUAUCC